Molecule: long non-coding RNA, 2473 nt
Filed under: Equus caballus (horse)
Lineage: Eukaryota; Metazoa; Chordata; Mammalia; Perissodactyla; Equidae
Description: lncRNA (ENSECAG00000047521.1)
Source: RNAcentral
GACCUCAGAAGGUGACAUGAUAUUUGUAUGUGGAUUAAAGCAAAGCCCAAGAACUACUGGAAUCUUAAAGAACAAAUAAGCUGGGUUUCUGGAAGCUUGGGAGAGGAAACCAUAAACCAGAUCAGAUCUAACCACCAGCACAUGCUCAAUGGCAGAGUGAUUUUGUUGUCUAACGGUCAGCUUUACACUCACCGAAGGGAGGCUGUCGAACUCAUUUUUUCCAGUAACUACGGCAGGCUCAGGACCUAGGGAUUAAGGACUCUUCCAAGGCCAAAUAUGUGUUUGGGAGCUGAAAAGUUAAGGGAUGGAUCCUCCAAAAGUAAAAGAACCUGUGUGGGACAAAAACCUAAAAAUGACCCUGAAGGCAGUUCUACUGUCUCAAAAAACGAAGGUAAGCUUGGAAAUUUUUCAAAGACACUUUGAGCCUUAAAUAAUGGUUUAUGUUCAUAUGGAAUUCUGAAGAUUUUGUGUGUCUGUUGAAGAGCUUUAGGCCUUUUUACCUCUGUGUUUUGCCCCAUCUAUUUCAAAUUCCUAGGCAAAUACCACCACCAUCACUCCCAUUUCCUCACCUAGUUAUAAAUAUAGAACCCUUUUGAAGCAAGCCCUUACUGUGAAAGCAAAGUGUGGGGUGCUGGAUAUUCUCUGGUUGUGCCUCCAUCCACUACCCCCGCCCCCCCUUCCAUCCUAUGCUGUGCCCCUGGAAGGCUGAUCCCUAGAGGGGUUCUCCCUUGUCCUCUGGCUUCUGAUAGGGCUCAGCCAAUGUGAAGUGCUGGUAGGAGCCCUCCUUGCCUGGCUAUAGUUUGGCCAUGACCUUCCUCUACUUGUGGCCAUGCUCCUGUCAGGGACCUCAUUCCUACAGUGAUUUUUGAGUGGCUUCCGCGUACCAAGAACUAUGGGGAUGUAAAAAAUGUAACAUCCUUCACUUAGAUAUUAGUUGGAAAGACAAGAGAGCUAUGUAACAAUGCAAGGAGCAACAAUGAAAGAAUAUUGAUGUAGACUGGUCCUUAGACACGAUGAACGGAGCUUCUCUUUGUAAUGGGUAAGAGACAAGCAAACGUCGUGUGGAAGGUCAGCACGAAAUGCAAAUACUCUCUCUCAGGGUCAGAGCCUGCUGCUACAGGAGGAGGCUGAAGGCACCAGCGACACAUCGUUUUUCAUGAGUUCAUGACACCACGGGCUUUGAAGAUGAAGCUAUGCCAUGUGUCAGUGUUAGAACCAGCCCAGCCAAGCUGACUGCCUCAUCCCUCUGUUUCUAAGACUUUUGCCUAGAGACUUCAGGGGAUAAUAUUUGAGCAGGAAUAAUAGGGGAUAAUAGUAUGAGCAGGAAUUACCACUGGAGAAAGAAAUUCAAGGGAUUAGUCAGUUUAAGCGUUUGAUCUUUAAAGUUCUGAGGAUCAGAAGGCUGAGCAUACUGAUAAUAUAAGUCCAAUAGGGUGCAAAUUGUUAACAUAGUAGGUUCUUAACAUUGAAAGAUUUAACGUUUGUCGGUUUGACACAUUGUAACACAAUAGAAUAACGGCAGUUAAUUUUGGGGAAACGCGAACUUGAAUCAAGUGUGUAAUACAGCUGUGUAGCAGAGCGUCACCUACUAAUAACUGAGCCUAUAGCAGAUCCAAGGCACAGGAACGUGUGGUUUUUGUCCUCUACUUGUGCCACAUAGAAUUACAUUAAAUGAUGAGAAACACUUGCUCGAGGAAUUUGUAAUAGUAACUAUAAACUGGAAACAACUUAUAAGUCUACCAAUAGGGAGUAUUUACACUGAUACUAUAGACUAUUAGGGAGCUCUUAAAAAAAGGAUAAUAGUGAAAAGGAACUUGCCUUACCAGAAAUUACUUACUAUCAAACUACAGCAAUCAAACUGCAAGCUACUGGCAGAGUAAUAUAAAAACAAAUUAUUAAGUAGAAUAGAGUGUCCAGAAAUAGAUCCAAGCAAAUCUGAGGAAUUAAUCUGUGAUGGUUUAGUUCAUAGUGGUGCUGGCAUAAUUGGAUAUUUAUUCAGAAGAAACCACCUCAUACCAUGUAAAAUAAAUCCCAAAUGGAUUAAAUAUUUAAGAGUAAAAAGAAUAUAAUAAAAUAUUAUAACAAUAUAUAAGAAAAUAUUUGUGGAAACUCCCAGGUGGGAGAAACUCUCUUAAGAAACACUGGAAACUCAGAUGCCAUAAGGAAAAGACUGACCAAUUUGCUGAGUAAAUAAUUUUGGGUGGCACGUUCUACCCUAGUCAGAUUCACAAGACUGAGGGAAAUAUUUGCAUGCAUAUGUCAGCAAAGGAUCAAAGGCUUCAAAACAUAGAGGUAUGAAUAUAAAGAUGCUUAUGUUAGCAUUGUUUGAAGAGGAAACAUUUUGGAAACAACCUGAACAUCAAUCAAUGGGGGAAUGGUUGAAUGACUUAUGGUAUGAUCAUGAUAUGACUGUUAUCCAGAAAUUAAAGAAAAUGAGUUAGACUCAUAUAUUACCCAAGAAAGACGGCCAUAA